GGUCGUUUGCUCAUAAGUAAAAAAGAAAAAGAAAAAAAAGAAGCGGAAAAUAAUGAAAAAGAGGUGGUUUGCACAGAGAGAGGGGAGUACUUGAGAAAAGGUACCCGGGUCACGAUCACUGCCCUGCAGGGAGCUGUAAAGGGCAGGCUCCGUGCUCAGACUCCCUGGCUUCCCACCAACCUCAACUUAGCACUAAAAUCAGCUGCGAGGCAUCAGCUCAAGGAGAGUUUUACACACUUAAAAGAGUGGACACAGCCGGGACAGCCUGUGUGAGAGAGAAGGAACAGGAAACCGCGACAUCCAGAAGGCAGGAAAAAAGGUCCUACCCCUGAUUUCUUCACCAGAGGAGCUGGGGCAGCUUCAGCAUCUAAAAGAGGAUUUCAGUCUACAUCAAGAGCUCAGAUUCAGCAGCAGGACUCAUGCAGGCAUCAAGACUGUGCCAUCCAAGCUCUCCAAACACCUCCUGUGACAGUGCCACGUGCCCAAGGAGGAGCAAAGUCAAUUGGCUCCUCCUGACUUGCUUGGAAGCUCAGGACCAGGAUGCAGAGGAAGGCAGUGGAUGAGGAAGAGAAUGCGCAGCACUGAGAGUGACGUCUGGGACAGUGAGGAUCCUCUGCUCUGUUAACAAUGAUUGCUGCAAGUGCAGCUCUGAGGAGAGAUUCUUGAUGAUUGAAUGCUCAGGACAGAAAUGGAGCAUCCAUCAACACUUGAGUCAAGUGAAAUUGUGAGAAAGAAAUGAGAAGGAGAAAUCAAGGCACAAGUAUUAUUGUUCACUUUUGAUUCUGAAGCAGUGUCAUUGCUCAGAGAGCUCCCACCUGCUAAUGAAGAACCCUCUUAUGCCAAGCAUUUCAGACUGGAAGGAAAAAUUGAGUGCUUAACUCUGAUCAGGAUGUCAGGAGUAGACAAUUGCUACUACAAAAAGUGAUGGCAAUCUCCUUUUUUUUGCCUGUCUAAUACAUACUGCCCAAGCGCUUCCAUGGAGAGACAGCAGAGAGACCAUCCAUCAGCAUCACAUUAUCUGAACCAGAAUUCAUUUCAUGGCUGCUUUAAAACCACUUGGAACAUGACACUGAGACCACCUCUGCUGUAAAAGUAAGCACACCUGGGGGAUGGGAUGGGAUGGGAUGGGAUGGGAGCCACUCAGGCCAAGCUCACACAUGGGAAUCUCAGCUGGGCCUGAUUCAAACUUUAAAUACUGUCUGAGAUAUUUGCCAAUGAGAGUAAUCUGAACUGCUAUCCUAGUAUUAAUAAAUUAGAGUAAAUUGUGAAUGCCAUGUGCUUCUGAAAUGCUUUAAACAUGGGCCCUGAAGCUGUAAAAGCGUAUUUAAAUUCAAGGAAGAUGGUGAUAGAGAUUUGUGUUCCAAACCCAGGGAAAUUCAGUUGAUGGCCCAGCCUCUGGCAGGUGUGACACCAGCAUUUGUUACAACACUGUUAGGAAAUUACUUUCUGACAGGAGUGGAUGGUUUUCAGUACAGGCACUGGGAUCCCCAGGAAAAGUGAAGUUCCUGGAUCAGAUUUGCUCUCAGUGUAGCCAGGUGCAAUGAGGACAGUGAAUCACUUUGUUACUCGGGGGUCUCAGGGGUGAGAGCAGCAGCUCCAUCCCCUCCCCUUGGCCAGAGCCCAGCCCCUCUGAGCAUGCACAGCCCCAGUGCCACUGACGGCAAGCUACUGCUCUUAACUCGAUGAAAUGCCUCUUGUGCUGGGCACACAGAUGAAGAGUAUCAGCAAUAAAGGCAGCCCAGUGAGCUGGG
Long non-coding RNA from Zonotrichia leucophrys gambelii, 1751 nucleotides. RefSeq lists it as uncharacterized. The transcript has 4 exons. The record is from RefSeq and is a predicted model, not a curated record. NCBI's taxonomy places the organism in Eukaryota, Metazoa, Chordata, Aves, Passeriformes, Passerellidae.